GUCCACGCCGUAAACGAUGGGCACUAGGUGUUCGGGGUAUUGACCCCCUGAGUGCCGCAGCUAACGCAUUAAGUGCCCCGCCUGGGGAGUACGGCCGCAAGGUUAAAACUCAAAGGAAUUGACGGGGCCCGCACAAGCGGUGGAGCAUGUGGUUCAAUUCGACGCAACGCGAAGAACCUUACCUGGGCUAGACAACAUCGGACAGCCCCAGAAAUGGGGUCUUCCCGCAAGGGACUGGUGGUUCAGGUGCUGCAUGGCUGUCGU
RNAcentral lists this ribosomal RNA (264 nucleotides) under uncultured bacterium. Its description in RNAcentral is "partial 16S ribosomal RNA". It matches the Rfam family "Bacterial small subunit ribosomal RNA", at positions 793 to 1055 of the family's 1533-position model. The record is from RNAcentral.